AAGCUCAUAAUGUUUUCGUAUAAUGAAGUAAUCCUCCAAUAGGGAUAGCCGAGAUGAAUCGUGCAACCACGAUUAAUAAUAUUUAGUGAGUUGAGACAAAGAAUUUGUGUAUGGUGAGGUAGUUCAACAUCAAACAAAGGCCUUUUACAUUGUGGCUUUGAAGUUGGCCGGGCGUCCAGACUAUAUAUUAUAUCUUGACAGACUAUAUUUUUAGGCAACUCUCUUCAAAGAGGAACUUUUGGGACAAUAUUAUACGGGGAAUGUCAAAAAUGUGUAACAAAUCAUUAUUUUAAUUAAUACAAUGAUUGGUGUAAUUAAUUAUCUCAUGUGAUAAUAUUUUUUGUCAGAUCACUGCACGCUAUAUUAUAGAGUUAUAAUUGGUCAGAUCUGUGAAGAGAGUCUGAUCACUGAAGGAUCGCUUAGUACAUAGAUCUAGAGUACUGGCGUUAGUAAUAAACUCAUAUGAGCAUAACUCCAUGAGCUUCAAAGCCCGCCACCCAGCGCUUGACAAAUUCAGUGACGAGGAUUGGCUGAGUGAGUCGGUUAUUCUCGACUUGCGACUUUAAGUUAUAAAUAUUUUCUAAAUUAAAUCAAAUUUGAUUUUACGUAUUGCACAACCAGAGCGCCACGAUGUGGAUAACAAUGGUUUCCUGCCCUUCCGUGAUGAUUUAUGUACCGCUCAAAACAGGUAAUGAUUAUUCGAUCCUUAAUUACUCUACACUAUUUCUCUUGGCAUGCAAAUACUCAUCAUAUCACUUAUAGGGUAUUUCAUCCUUUCUUUUACAGGGUAUUUCUAUAUGCAAGACCCCACACUAGCUUAAGAUAUACGUUUACACACAACAACUAAUCGGACCGAAGACAUCGUCAACUUGACAACAUUCAUCGUUAACGUUCGGCAAAACCUGAAAUCGACCCAAUUAAUGAGUUUGAGACAAAUAAUUUUGUGCUCUGUGAGUGGAUUUAAUCGUGAAAAAAAGACCUUAUAUAUUGUGGCUUUGAAGUUUGCCGGGAUUUCAGACUCAAUUAUAUCUUGACCGAAUAUGGUCGACCAAGCCGAGGAUCUGGAUCUUCGUCUCGACACUAUUUCUCCGAUUUUCUCUUGACAGCACUUCAUGAACGCCAUGUCGAUCAAAUCUUUGGCUUCGAAUCUAUUAAUCAAUUUCAAAUUUUGCUGGACCAGUUUCUUCUUCGUGCCAGUCUUCUCGUCUUUUACCGCAACUCACCAGAUUAACAUUGCAAGACAGACUUGUGCAAGCGACCUUGAAACAGCCAUGUUCAUCCCACCGCUGCCGCAAAUUAAUUUGUAACGUGCCGAGCACACUGCUUGAUUCGUAUAUUAACAUACUAUACAACAUGCAGAACAAUAUAUUUGGUUAAAG
Non-coding RNA from Paramuricea clavata, 1379 nucleotides. Lineage: Eukaryota; Metazoa; Cnidaria; Anthozoa; Malacalcyonacea; Plexauridae. The record is from the annotation of a GenBank genome assembly.